Small nucleolar RNA from Callithrix jacchus (white-tufted-ear marmoset), 100 nucleotides. The record is from Ensembl. NCBI's taxonomy places the organism in Eukaryota, Metazoa, Chordata, Mammalia, Primates, Cebidae.
AUCCCUUUGUAGUUCAUAAGCAUGAUGACUGGGUGCUCACGUACAUGCGUGAAACGUGCCUCCCUUAAACUGUGUCAUGCGUUGGCUUACCAGCGUGAUG